UGGCGAACGGGUGAGUAACACGUGAGUAACCUCGCCCUUAACUCUGGGAUAAGCCUGGGAAACUGGGUCUAAUACCGGAUAUGACUCCUCAUCGCAUGGUGGGGGGUGGAAAGCUUUAUUGUGGUUUUGGAUGGACUCGCGGCCUAUCAGCUUGUUGGUGAGGUAAUGGCUUACCAAGGCGACGACGGGUAGCCGGCCUGAGAGGGUGACCGGCCACACUGGGACUGAGACACGGCCCAGACUCCUACGGGAGGCAGCAGUGGGGAAUAUUGCACAAUGGGCGCAAGCCUGAUGCAGCGACGCCGCGUGAGGGAUGACGGCCUUCGGGUUGUAAACCUCUUUCAGUAGGGAAGAAGCGAAAGUGACGGUACCUGCAGAAGAAGCGCCGGCUAACUACGUGCCAGCAGCCGCGGUAAUACGUAGGGCGCAAGCGUUAUCCGGAAUUAUUGGGCGUAAAGAGCUCGUAGGCGGUUUGUCGCGUCUGCCGUGAAAGUCCGGGGCUCAACUCCGGAUCUGCGGUGGGUACGGGCAGACUAGAGUGAUGUAGGGGAGACUGGAAUUCCUGGUGUAGCGGUGAAAUGCGCAGAUAUCAGGAGGAACACCGAUGGCGAAGGCAGGUCUCUGGGCAUUAACUGACGCUGAGGAGCGAAAGCAUGGGGAGCGAACAGGAUUAGAUACCCUGGUAGUCCAUGCCGUAAACGUU
This 703-nucleotide ribosomal RNA is filed under the name Pseudarthrobacter oxydans. Its description in RNAcentral is "bacterial SSU rRNA". It matches the Rfam family "Bacterial small subunit ribosomal RNA", at positions 96 to 810 of the family's 1533-position model. Lineage: Bacteria; Bacillati; Actinomycetota; Actinomycetes; Micrococcales; Micrococcaceae. The record is from RNAcentral.